UGGGGAAUUUUGGACAAUGGGCGAAAGCCUGAUCCAGCAAUGCCGCGUGAGUGAAGAAGGCCUUCGGGUUGUAAAGCUCUUUUAGCCGGAAAGAAAGAGUUGCAAUGAAUAAUUGUGAUUUAUGACGGUACCGAAAGAAAAAGCACCGGCUAACUACGUGCCAGCAGCCGCGGUAAUACGUAGGGUGCGAGCGUUAAUCGGAAUUACUGGGCGUAAAGGGUGCGCAGGCGGUCUUGCAAGUCAGAUGUGAAAGCCCCGGGCUUAACCUGGGAAUUGCAUUUGAAACUGCAAGGCUAGAGUGCAGCAGAGGGGAGUGGAAUUCCAUGUGUAGCAGUGAAAUGCGUAGAGAUGUGGAAGAACACCGAUGGCGAAGGCAGCUCCCUGGGUUGACACUGACGCUCAUGCACGAAAGCGUGGGGAGCAAACA
This 427-nucleotide ribosomal RNA is filed under the name uncultured beta proteobacterium. RNAcentral describes it as "bacterial SSU rRNA". It matches the Rfam family "Bacterial small subunit ribosomal RNA", at positions 355 to 774 of the family's 1533-position model. The record is from RNAcentral. Lineage: Bacteria; Pseudomonadati; Pseudomonadota; Betaproteobacteria.